CCUACGGGAGACAGCAGUGAGGAAUAUUGGUCAAUGGACGAGAGUCUGAACCAGCCAAGUAGCGUGAAGGAUGACUGCCCUACGGGUUGUAAACUUCUUUUAUAUGGGAAUAAAAUGUUCCACGUGUGGGUUUUUGUAUGUACCAUAUGAAUAAGGAUCGGCUAACUCCGUGCCAGCAGCCGCGGUAAUACGGAGGAUCCGAGCGUUAUCCGGAUUUAUUGGGUUUAAAGGGAGCGUAGGUGGAUUGUUAAGUCAGUUGUGAAAGUUUGCGGCUCAACCGUAAAAUUGCAGUUGAAACUGGCAGUCUUGAGUACAGGAGAGGUAGGCGGAAUGCGUGGUGGAGCGGUGAAAUGCUUAGAUAUCACGAAGAACUCCGAUUGCGAAGGCAGCUCACUGGACUGCAACUGACGCUGAGGCUCGAAAGUGUGGGUAUCAAACAGGAUUAGAUACCCGGGUAGUC
This 460-nucleotide ribosomal RNA is filed under the name uncultured bacterium. RNAcentral describes it as "partial 16S ribosomal RNA". It matches the Rfam family "Bacterial small subunit ribosomal RNA", at positions 338 to 795 of the family's 1533-position model. The record is from RNAcentral.